RNAcentral lists this ribosomal RNA (840 nucleotides) under Triticum aestivum (bread wheat). RNAcentral describes it as "partial small subunit ribosomal RNA". Lineage: Eukaryota; Viridiplantae; Streptophyta; Magnoliopsida; Poales; Poaceae. The record is from RNAcentral.
AUGCUUCAGGAGAGGCUCGCAUUUGAGGCGUCGGCGGAGGGCAAGGAGGAGGCGGAGAAGUACCGCAGCACCCCGCCCUGGAGCUGGAGGCCGGCAGUCCCCGUCACUGAGGUCACUGAGCAGCCACCAGCUUUUGAAUGGGUUCCGUACUUUGACGUUGAUGAGUUUGGGAGAGAAUCUGUGCUUAAGUGCGCAAGUUGGAGCGUCGAGGAAUUCACACUGGAACUUGCUCAAUGUGUGGUUGGACUUCAGUCAUUUAUAGAAGACAGGAAUUUUUUCUCUUGCUCUGGAACAAUUGUUGAGUUUCUGGAGGGUGUUGGUCAUGUGGUAACAUCUGCUAGUUUAGUUAAAUUGCCACACCAAGAUGAGAUAGCUGAUAAACUCAAGAUCAAUGUAUUCCUAGCAAGUGGAGAAAUAUUCGAGGGUUUGGUAUCAAAUGUGGACUUUUGUUACAAUAUAUGUGUGGUGGAAGUCCGUUCAACUUCAAUGCUGGCUACGAAAAAGUUCAGUGCGGACAGUAGAAUCUUUAAUUUUAACGAGUACCAUUCAAGAGAUGUUGUAGCGUUAGGCUGCCUUUGUGAGCCGUGGAGCUUGAACGUUGCUUCAGGAAAGCUAAUCCCAAGAAGAAGCCAGCUUGAUUGUGAAGAACUUCUUGUGUCGUCUUGCAGGAUUUCAAAGAGAGGUAUUGGGGGUUCUCUGGUGGAUUUUGAUGGAAAUAUCAUCGGCAUGAACUUCUAUGACAGGAAAGAAACCCCUUUCAUUCCAGGUUUCAUUGUGUUGAAGUGUGUGCAGCCCUUUCAAAUGAUUUCGGGACGGUCAUACGACCGUUGCAUGGACUGA